The submitters of this non-coding RNA (53 nucleotides) gave its source as unclassified sequences. The record is from Rfam.
GGACCACUUUUUUUUAAAGUUCAGGCCAUACGGACAGCCGGGUCCACUGCCGA